UACAGAGGUCCCCAGCGUUGUUCGGAUUCACUGGGCGUCAAGGGUGCGUAGGUGGUCGGGUAAGUCUGAUGUGAAAUCUCCGAGCUUAACUCGGAAAUGGCAUUGGAUACUAUCUGACUGGAGGGUUGGAGGGGGGACUGGAAUUCUCGGUGUAGCAGUGAAAUGCGUAGAUAUCGAGAGGAACAACAGUGGCGAAGGCGAGUCCCUGGACAACUCCUGACACUGAGGCACGAAAGCGAGGGGAGCAAACAGG
Molecule: ribosomal RNA, 253 nt
Filed under: uncultured bacterium
Lineage: Bacteria
Description: partial 16S ribosomal RNA
Rfam family: Bacterial small subunit ribosomal RNA
Source: RNAcentral